This 291-nucleotide non-coding RNA is filed under the name Phascolarctos cinereus (koala). The record is from RNAcentral. Lineage: Eukaryota; Metazoa; Chordata; Mammalia; Diprotodontia; Phascolarctidae.
GCCAGGUGUGAUAGCACACACCUGUACUCAUUGCUACUGAGGAGGCUGAGGCUGGUAAAUCACUUGAACUUGGGAGUGCUGAGCUGUAGUGGGCUAAAGCCAAUCUGAUGCCCUCACCAAAUUCACCACCAAUAUGGUGAGCCCUCAGGAAGAAGGUCACCAAACUACUUAAAGAGGGGAGAACUGGAAUGAGUUAGAAAGGGAGAAGGUCAAAACUCCCAUGUCAAUCAGUAGUGGGAUCUGGUCUAUGAUCCAUUACUGUAUCUCCAGCCUGGGCACAACCUAGUCUUA